RNAcentral lists this long non-coding RNA (1367 nucleotides) under Phascolarctos cinereus (koala). Its description in RNAcentral is "lncRNA (ENSPCIG00000034483.1)". Lineage: Eukaryota; Metazoa; Chordata; Mammalia; Diprotodontia; Phascolarctidae. The record is from RNAcentral.
UGAGAAGGUACCUAAAUGAAUGGACUGCUGAAACAGCUGUAUUUUAAUUUGUAACUGCUCACCCACAGGGAACUUUUACAAGGAUUUGAUCAUAAGUGCCUCUGAAACAUGUACUCAAAGAGGCAGAUAUAAAUUGGAAUGGCACAGAGCUCAGCGGAAGGAAGAAGAGCAGAUGGAGACCUGAUAAACCCUCCUUUGUCUGUGUGUUUGGCAAUCCAAAGGAUUCUGUGUAUUGCUUCUCUGUCUAAAUAGUUUUUUGAAACUAGUUGUCACAACUCCAGAUAAUCUCCUAUUUCUCAAAGCCCAGCUUCAAGGAAAUGAAUGAAAAUCAACUUGUCAACCCCAUCCAGCAAAUAUCAACCCCACCCCACCUCUAGGAGAGCUGGGCAGGAAGUGCAGGUGCUCCAGCUGUCAGGCAGCCAAGAUGCAUUGUGGGACAGCAGGAGCACCAGACCCAAGAUGGCAGCUGGCAGGAGGCUGAUGAAGGACAACCCUCCCUAUGACAAGGGAGCAUUCAGAAUUGAAAUCAACUUCCCAGCAGAAUAUUCAUUCAAACCACCUAAGAUCACUUUUUAAACAAAGAUUUACCACCCCAACAUCAAUUACUGGCAUGUCUGUCUGCCAGUAAUUAUUUAGUGCUGAAAACUGGAAGCCAGCAACAAAACUGACCAAGUCAUAGCACUGGUGAAUGACCACCAGCCUGAGUACCUGCUUCGGGCAGACUUAGCUGAAGAGUACUCUAAGGAUCAUAAAAAAUUCUGUAAGAAUGCUGAAGAGUUUACAAAGAAACAUGGGGGAAAGUGACUGGUGGACUAAAUCUUCUCUGAUUGAUUCCUGCAAGGGCUAGUGGAGACCCGGAGCAGUGCAUUUCCAACACCCCACAACCAGGACUCUGGAAAAUUGACAGGCGCCACCUCCUGGCAUUAACUUGGGGCAGUUACUAACUUUCUAUAGUUUUUUUAAUCAAAAGUGUUCUAGGUAAACCAGUAAAGGGAGGAUUAAAAAUUUAAGAUGUUCUAGUUCUGAUUUCUUUGUUUUAAAAAUCACUGCUUCAAUCUACCUUAAAGAAUGGUGUGUUCUUUUCUUGCCCAAAUCUAUCCCAAAUCUUCAGUUUUCCCUCAGGUUUAAAACAGAAAGUUAGUGAGUGGUGCACACUCCUGAUCCCUCCCUUCCCCUUUGUAGGUCUUAUUUUAUUGAGUUCAUUUUAAUCUCACUCCCUAUCCCCAGAAUAAUACCUGGGAACCCCUCAUUCAACCUCUUCCCUUCCUCCCCCACCCCAAGCCUGAAAGAAAAUGGCCUAAAAUCCAACAGUCUUGUUGCCUUCCCUCCCUGCGGCUCUGUGCUUUGUGAGUAUGGGUUGUGAGUCU